AUGGCUGAGGAUCUGUCUAGGGUUUGCUGGUUGAUUUGUCCUGGCUGGGGUCUGCUUGUGCUCUUGGGCUGUGCUGCUCGAAGUUGCUUCGCUGGUUUCCUUGCAGGCACCCAAGCUUUUCUUUGCGCGAUGGCAUCAGGCACACGGAGGGAGCUCUUCUCCAUCGGUGCGAUGAACAAUGACCGUGAUCUCCGUUCCACACCAUCACCAGCUAGCAAGAUGAAGCAUUCUGCCACGGUUAGGCCGAAGGCUAUGCUUAGUGUCGUUCUUGCUGAAGAUGAUUUACCCGAGGUGAAGUACAAGACAUGCGCAUCUUACCGUGGCCUUGUGGCGGCUACUGCUAUCUUCUGGCCAUCACAGUUGCGUUCGUCCGCAGCGGCAGAGCAUAUGAGGAUCAAUGGCGACCCAGCUGUGGAUGCCAAUGGGCCAUGCAAAAUGCUGCUCCUCGGUGCUUGGAGCAUCUUCAGGCCACCAUGGAUAUUGAAUUUGACCGCCCUCUAA
Molecule: ribosomal RNA, 501 nt
Filed under: Triticum aestivum (bread wheat)
Lineage: Eukaryota; Viridiplantae; Streptophyta; Magnoliopsida; Poales; Poaceae
Description: partial small subunit ribosomal RNA
Source: RNAcentral